This 497-nucleotide ribosomal RNA is filed under the name uncultured bacterium. RNAcentral describes it as "partial 16S ribosomal RNA". It matches the Rfam family "Bacterial small subunit ribosomal RNA", at positions 28 to 507 of the family's 1533-position model. The record is from RNAcentral.
GAUGAACGCUGGCGGCGUGCCUAAUACAUGCAAGUCGAGCGAACAGACGAGGAGCUUGCUCCUCUGACGUUAGCGGCGGACGGGUGAGUAACACGUGGAUAACCUACCUAUAAGACUGGGAUAACUUCGGGAAACCGGAGCUAAUACCGGAUAAUAUAUUGAACCGCAUGGUUCAAUAGUGAAAGACGGUUUUGCUGUCACUUAUAGAUGGAUCCGCGCCGCAUUAGCUAGUUGGUAAGGUAACGGCUUACCAAGGCGACGAUGCGUAGCCGACCUGAGAGGGUGAUAGGCCACACUGGGACUGAGACACGGUCCAGACUCCUACGGGAGGCAGCAGUAGGGAAUCUUCCGCAAUGGGCGAAAGCCUGACGGAGCAACGCCGCGUGAGUGAUGGAGGUCUUCGGAUCGUAAAACUCUGUUAUGAGGGAAGAACAAAUGUGUAAGUAACUAUGCACUUCUUGACGGUACCUAAUCAGAAAGCCACGGCUAACUACGUG